UACUGCGCAGCUCUGCGGCGCAUUUAAGAGAGGUCGGAUCCGGAAGUCUAUCCUUUUCCCUUGGAGGAGACACAACGAUGAGCAGAGACGAGCGCUGCGCCUCAUGACAUUCGAAAAUUUAGAAGACUGCAUCAUGUUUAGUCUUCAUAACGACGAUGUUUCGAUGAAGAUGGAAAAUGUUAUCUAUGAUUGGUACACCUGAUAAGAUGUCAAGUCACCACUACAAAUGGCCAAAUAUUGGUUUUCACCAUGUGGACCUUAAGGUGAGCUCUGUUUCAGAAGUCACCCUGUGGUGAGGGACCUGUGCUGAUCUAGAGAUGAGCAGUUGGUGCAGCAGUGGAACAAAAACAGUGUCUGCUUUCUCUAAUGUGGUUACAGGACCAUUUGACCUUACAGAGUAGGCUACUUUGAAAGCAUUGCUGAAGCUGAUGGCUCACCAGUUGGAGGAAAUCUGGAGAUUUACAUUUGAGGGGGCGACAUCAUUAAAAAAAAUUAUUGAAUCAACUUUUUUUUCCCCUGUGUAUCUUGUGCUGUAUGUAGAUCUUAAAGAUAACUGGUGUGUUCAAUGAAUAAGGAGGCAGGGCCCCCGUGUCAUAUCAGUUGGGUGUGUGUGAUCUUGUGCUACCUACCUGUGUUUUGAACCUUAGGGGCUACUCCUCUGUAAUGUACG
This is a long non-coding RNA of Etheostoma spectabile (orangethroat darter), 670 nucleotides long. RefSeq lists it as uncharacterized. Lineage: Eukaryota; Metazoa; Chordata; Actinopteri; Perciformes; Percidae. The record is from RefSeq and is a predicted model, not a curated record. The transcript is spliced from 7 exons.